This is a long non-coding RNA of Capra hircus (goat), 7060 nucleotides long. RefSeq lists it as uncharacterized. The record is from RefSeq and is a predicted model, not a curated record. The transcript has 3 exons. Lineage: Eukaryota; Metazoa; Chordata; Mammalia; Artiodactyla; Bovidae.
UGGACAGAGGAGCCUGGUGGGCUACAGUCCACGGGGUCACAAAAGAGUCAGAAACAACUUAGUAACUGAACAACAACAAAUGUCUGUAAUUUUUAUGUCUUCCUUUAAAGGGAUACCACAAAACAAGUCCCUUCAGAGCCUGACAUCUUGAUUUCGCUGACCCUCCUCAUUUUUAAAUACAGACAAUUCAACCUGGACCUGGGGUAAGGUGAGCAGAAACUGGAUUCGAGUGAAUGUUGAGUGAAGAAAAGUGGAUGGCUUAACUCAGAUGUCCUAGAUCAACCCCAGGAAAACGAAAACCGUGCAGGUGCCAGAAACAACACAUCUUCCACAAAGAAUACUGAGAUUCCUUCUGCUUUGCCUGAUCCAGAGUUCACCAUGAUCCCCUCCAAGACAAGACACAGGCCAUUCCACAGGUUGGUGUCUUUGCUUUCUUUUUCUUUUAUAUAUUGCCUUUUUUAAUUUUUUUAAACAAAUGCAAAACAAACAAAAAAAUCUAAGCACAAUGCAGGUAUAGUUAAAACUCAACAUAAUGAUGGUCUAAAGUGUAAAAGGAUACAGUUACCAAAAAAGGAAGAGUGACACUUUUGAGGUCUACCAGACAGCGUUAUAUUCUAGUUUAUCUCUUAUGGUGACUUUGAGAUUACAGCCACAAAAACAGAAACUCAGAGAAUCAAAGUAACUUCCUUAAGAUCACAGAAUAAGUGACACAAAUGUAAAAGUUGGUCUCUAUCAUUCAGCAAUAUUAAUAUUUAUUAGCUUGUCAGAAUAAUCUGUUUAUUUUCAGAUCUAAGACUUUAACUAGAACAUGAAAAAUUGGAAAGAAAACAAUAAAAAUUAUAAAAUAAAAAUCAUAAAUCCAAAUAUAAUUCUAAAGAUUAAAGAAGCAGUACAAUGUUGGCACAUAUAUACUAUGACUGAAAGAUACAGGUAGAGAAAUAAAAAGGUAGGCACAGAUGAAAGAAUGCAUGUACUUGAUUUGCCACUAUUUUGACGGCUAUGUGAGUUUAUUUUUCAGGUCACAGUAAGCAGCUUUCCUCCACAUUUAAUAACAGAAACAAGCUACCUGGAGGUCAUGGAACCUCUUUCCCAAUAAACUCCUUAAAAAUUACUUUGAUAACACAUUUUAACAGAAGAGGUAAUUUGACAUGCAUCUAGAUAUAAAAAUACUUUUAUAUGUUAAACUUUUUAUUUGAUAUUUAUGUAUAGUGCAAAAUUAUUAUAAUAAGUCUAGUUAAUAUCCUUCACCAUACAAAAAAAUCUUUUUUCUGAGGUGAGGACUUUUAAGGUUUACUCUUAGCAACUUUUAAAUAUGCAGUUCAAUACUGCUAACUAUAUGACCCUGCUGUACCUUACAUCCCCAGCAGUUAUUUAUUUUAUAGCUAGAAGUUUGUACCUUCUGCUUCCACCCAUUUUGCCCAUCUCCCAACCACUUCACCUCUGGCAAUCACCAGUCUUGCUCUGUUAUCUGUGAACUUGGUUUUUGUUUUUUUAAAAUAAUAACUUUAAAUGAGUCCUUCCACCUCAGUGUUUCCAUGAUUUGUGGGAAACAACACAUUUUAAACAACUACAGCAAAUAUUUACUACUUAAAGCCAAUUCUGCUUAUACCUUUAUUCCCAUGAAGGAUAUGGGACCACCUUAUUUUUAAUUUUAUGCCUCAGAAUAUCCCUGAUGUUUUCCGUGGGCUGAAUUUGUCACUAUUAAGUUAGCAAACAAUAAAUUUUGUAUAAAAACAGAGCAUCAAAUUAUGAUAAAAGCAAACUAUUGAUACUGAAUAAGUAUGUCCUCAUUUCUGUAGAAGGUAGAGGAAAUAUUUAUAUUCUUUCAUAAUCAAAAGAGGAUUGCAAAGAACUUUCUUAAUUAUAAAGCAGUACAGAAUCAGGUAAUCCUGGAUUUAUGUAAAUGGCAUAAUGAUAUAGUUUCUGCUCCUGCAAGAAGGCAUUGUUACUAAACCAAAAUUGGGUAUUUAAACACAAAAUGUGAGAUUAACUUAGUCAUGCCUUUCAUGUCCUACUCACUAGUACUGACUGUUAUGGUCCUAACUACUAGGAGAAACAUACAUACACACACACACACACAUAUACACAUGCACCACAGCACAUGUGUCUGCCACCAGUAACCAUGUAGCUUGGUAGAGCUGAAGCGGUGUCUUUUCAUUCUUAGACCCAUGGACCAAAUACUAAUGCUCAGUGGUGCUGCAGACACAAAGUUUCUCCAUACAAGGAAUCUGCUCUCUAGAUGCAUAAUUAAAAAGAAAUAAUCACCUAGAUUUUCCACUUAAAUUUCUUUCAGUAAGACACAAUGAAGAGGCCUUGUUUGACCAACCUUUUUUUAACUAAUCUUAAUUAUACUUAUCCAGGGCGGACACCAACAACUUUUGAUUAGUAAAAACACGUGUAACAGGAAAUGAAGAUAUUAGUCAAUGGGUACAAAGUUUCGGUUGUACCAGAUGAAUAAGUUCUACAGACUGAUGUGUAGCAUAAAGCUUAUACUUACCAACUCUGUACUGUAUACUUUAAAUUUUAUUAAGAGGGUAAGUCUUACGUUAAGUGUUCUUGUCACAUGCACAAAGUAACAGUAAUAAAGAGUGUACGAGGAAACUUUUGAAGGUGACACAUAAGUUUAUGGUAUAGAUUAUGAUAAUGGUUUCAUGGGUUUAGACUUAUCUCAAACUCAUCAAGUGGUAUAUAUUAAUUAUGUACAACUUUUUGUAUGUAAAAAAAUUUUUAAUAUAUAAUAAACCCUUAGUCCAACCCUUUUGACAAUAUUUUUCCGUAUCUUCCCCUUCUUCUCAGUUGUUAUAAACUGCUAUGGAUUCUUCCUCAGAAGAUAUUUAUGGCUACUAGUGGUUGAAAUCUAAGCUGAUUUUCUAACUAGCCACUCUUUCUGUACACACUUUUGUGGGCCCUCUUUGUGUUGGUCUUUGAAUAUUCUUUCAACUUGCAAACUAACAACAAAGGCAUAUGUUGUCGGGAUGACAUAAGGCCUUCUAUUCUAGGGAUCAAAGACUCUCCCAGGGCUUCCAGAACAAGCCAAUGUACGCUAUUACCACUUUGCCAACCUUGGUUAGGGAAGGAUGUCUUCACUGAAAGAACAAGUCGGGAGAUGUUGAAUAUUUUGGUAGGAAACUAUGAGUUGUCAAGCAAAGAAAAUCUGCUAGUGGUGAAAAAUCAAAACUUAUUAGGAAGUUACAAGUUAAAACUUAUUAUAAGCCUUGUUAUAACUAACAAAAGAUAAACUUAAAACGUUUUUGCUUUGUUUUCAAUUGUGUGUUUAAGUUAAUGGUUAAGAGUUCAGGUUUUGGAGAUAAACUACUUGAGUUUAAAUCCCAGCUUCAUCACUUACUAGUUGUGUGUCUUUGGCAAGUUACUUCAACUUUUCACACAUCUCUGGACUAUUCUUAUGGAGAGAGUAACAGACUCUACUUCAUAAAGUUUCUGUCAAGAAGUAAUAAGAAUGUACUUAGGUCCAGUGGCUAAGACUCCACAUUCCCAAUGCAGGGGGCCUAGGUUCGAUCACUAGUCAGGGAAAUAGAUCCCCUGUACCACACACACACACACACACAAAACAGAACACCCUUAGGACAUAUUAAUAGAAGUACUCAUGAAGAUCUGACAUAAAAGAAUUUUUUUUCAAUCUUCAAAAUAAACUAAACUCAGAAAGUUAUGAGGGUGACAUCCAAAGCCACUGAAACCAUACAAACUCAAAACUUCUAGAUUAUCUGACCCAAAAUCCUGUUUUACAGAUGCUCAAACAGGCUGAAAAGUAAUCUAUUGAUCAAAGGUAGAGUUAGGAACUAACUAAGCCAAUUCUCUUCUUGUGACUCCAAAUUGUGAGUGCACUAUUUCUUUUUCCCUAAUCUUUCGCCUUAACCACAGAGCCUGUCCUGUCUACCCUACAUGGCUCUAGAAAUUCCUCUGAAUACACAAGCAAAUAGAGAUGAAUUCAUUCAUAUCAAAUUGUGAUCUUGUAGCCAAAGUGAUGAGAAUCACCAGAUCACUGGAAUUUUUCAGCUGGGCUUCCUUAAAAGGACAGAAUAGAGGCCUUUUUUUCCUGUUAAGAGUUCUAACUAUGUCAUUUCCACCAAAUAGAACAGGGCAGCCAGGUAGCUUUAGGUGGAAAAAAAAGUAGUUAUACUUGAAAAUCAGCAUAAAAAGAAUGCUGCUACUGACCCAACCUCCAGUAGGAGACAUGUUAGAAUAGUAAUUACUGUAUGAAGAAAAUUAUCUCACUUUAAAAUUUUACAGGAUUUAUGGUGCCAGUUGAAAAUGAAUUUUAUUUACAAAAGCCAGUUGACUCAACAUAAAAUAGAAGGAAGUUAAACUGUCUUUACCUUUGCAUAUUGUAUUACCUUAUUUCCAGAAUAUAAUAUGGGAGAUAGUGAAGGACAGGGAAGCCUGGCACGCUGCAGUUCAUGGGGUCACAAAGAGUCGGAUACAACAAUAAAGGUUUUCAUAAUUACUUCCUAUUUCCUUUAAAAUGUGAUCAUAACUAGUUAAUCAAGUUUUUAAUUAUUUGAUAAAUUAAUUCACGGCAAAGUAUAAAUCACAGAAAAUGCUUUGUUCUCCUCCUUGAAGUAUGUAUCUUAAAUACUUAAAUAUCUGCUGACUUAGAAAACAAAAUAAAAUUUCAUUAUCAUAAGGUCAUAGGUCAGGAGGUGGAGUUUCCUGCAGGGACAUUUACCUGCGAAAUCACAUAUGUGGGCCUCUACCUCUACAUUAGGACCACCCAGGGCAAAUCCAAGACACAGGUUUCAUAUUCUGACCAACUGACCUAACACAUCCUCUCUAGAAAUAAAAGUAAGCAAAAUGUUCCUUAGAAAUCCCAUCAUCUUUUUAGUCCUGAAAGCCUUAGAAUAAAAAUCUUCCUCUUUUUUUUUAUGUGUGUGUGUUUGGUUUUAGGUGGCUUAUUCACACUUCUAAAGGGAAAAUCGCAGGUAUAAAGAACAGUAAAUCAAACUCUAUGGACUUGAGAUUCUAAUUACUGAAAUUUCAAGGUCCAAACAAUGGAAACUCACAAUGGCACUUUAUGAAUCAUAAAACAACUCUCCAUGUGAGCUCUCACACUAUUUUACUCUGUUCAACUCUUUAGUUUUCCUUGUAGUACUGUUCUGCCUGACUUGUCAUAAAUUUACUGAUUACUUCAAUGUUCUAAUCCUAAAGUUAAGAAAGAAGAACAAGGAUACACUCUCUUCUUUUGUACUCACAGAAGAAUUAGUCACAAGAAGUCUUUAUUGGCUGACUUACCUUUAUUGUAGCUGAUUCUGCAUGAAAUGGGCGUGACUCUCUCUCCAAAGAUAAAUCUGGAACUCUUGACUCUUCAUGAAUCCCCAACUCUUCACCAGCAGCAUUUAUGCUUUGAGUGACUCUAUCCUGACUGGUGUCAUGCCUCCUUCACAAUUAUUCAUCCUUUAAGAGUCAGCUCACCAUAUCACUCCACCCCAACCUCACCGUCCAAAGCGUGAGUUCACUACUCUCUUCCCUCUGUUUGCUUCAUACCAUGCAGAGUUCUACCAUUGCAUCAAUAAGUUUAUGUUAGUUAUAGCUAUACUAUUUCAUAGGCAUCUAUCUUUGUUUCUUGGAUUGCUUAUCUGUAUUGCCAAUAAAAUACAAAUUAAAUGCUUGGCGAACAAACUCAGUUUGAAUAAAUGAAGAAACAAAUGAAUAUAACCAAACCAGAAAACAAUUUCCUCCUUUUUUCACCCUUCUUACGUUACUGACCUCGAUGUAUGUCAUAAAUUUUCCCUUUAUCCAAGUAACCUUUUUUUUUUAACUGAAGUACAGUUGAUGUGUUAUAUAAGUUAUAGGUAUACUCUACAGUGAUUCAUAAUUUUUAAAAGUUAUGCUCCAUUUAUAGCUAUUAUAAAAUAUUGGUUAUAUUCUCUGUUACACAUACGCUUUAUUAAUCAAUGUCGUAUGAGUAAGCCUCCCAGCCUUGAUAACCAUCUCACUUGUUGGAACAGCCGCACAUUUCUGUUCCUUGCUUCUAAGGCAUGUCGUAGGAGAGCAGCAGAUUCAGCAUGCACCUCUUAGAUGUUAUUUCUAACACAUACCCUCAUUGGGAUUUUCAAUGGAAUUAAAUGGUCAGUGAUCUAUCAAACCAUCAGCCAUUUAUACCAUGAUGAUUUAUAAAGUGAUUUUUAAAUGCUGGAGUGGGUGGGGAGUAAGGAAGAGGCAAUGGUAGAAAGGGGACACAUUAAUUUUUGUUGAUCUUUAUGAAGGCUUUUUUUAAAAAUAACAUUUUUGUUUUAGAUAAUACUAAGAGAUGAUUCUAAUAAGCUAAUAAUCACUUUUGUGUACAUGUGAAACAAAAUAUGCUGGGAAAUAACAACACAGAUAUUUUGAAUAUAUAUAAAUGUUAAAGCCAGUUAUUUGCACAAAGUACAUUUUUUAACUGAUGUAUUACAAGUAUGUCUGAAGAAAAUUAAGUCUUAGGAAAAGUACAUUUACCAUAAUGUUCAACUAAUUUAGAGGGAGAAAAACCCUGUAAGUAAUCUUUCAUAUCUUGUUAAUUCAUUUUAAAGCAAUCAGCAUGUCAUUGGUAAAGGCAUUUGAUGUUGUACAAAGAGAUUUGUGAAAUAGAUUGACUCUCAUGCCAGCAGAAAGAAGUCAGGAGUGAGAGAGUGAGCUGUGUAUGAUCUAACUUCCAAGUGCCUUCAGCUCACUGAGUCAUAGGUUUCAGUCGUAGGUUUUCAAAGAGGAGCUAAUUCAAGAAUGCCAUCCAAUGGCACUGGAUUGUACAUCUUCUCUCAAAGCCUUGCAAUACAUGUCUUACAGAGGAGAAUCAUCCUUAAAUUGCCUUUGACAGCCUCCAGGGGAGAGUAAAUAAUCCAACAGAAAUACAAUUUGCAUUAGCUUUUCUCAUUCUGGAAGCUACAAUUAUCUUCAUUACUAAACAGAGAUCAAAUUCUAGAUAAUGAGGCAUAAAUACUUGCCUAUAGGACUCAGUUGCAAGAGCACUCAUUUUGGGUAGGACUUACACUUCUUGGCCUUUUGGCUAAGAUCAAGUGGUGGCUCAGACCAAAAGUGUCUGUCUACAAUGUGGGAGACCUGGGUUCGA